UUCCGGUUGAUCCUGCCGGACCUGACUGCUAUCGGAUUGAUACUAAGCCAUGCGAGUCAUUGUAGCAACACAAGGCAUACGGCUCAGUAACGCGUAGUCAACCUAACCUAUGGACGGGAAUAACCUCGGGAAACUGAGAAUAAUGCCCGAUAGAACAUUAUGCCUGGAAUGGUUUAUGUUCCAAAUGAUUUAUCGCCGUAGGAUGGGACUGCGGCCUAUCAGUUUGUUGGUGAGGUAAUGGCCCACCAAGACUAUUACAGGUACGGGCUCUGAGAGGAGUAGCCCGGAGAUGGGUACUGAGACACGGACCCAGGCCCUAUGGGGCGCAGCAGGCGAGAAAACUUUGCAAUGUGCGAAAGCACGACAAGGUUAAUCCGAGUGGUUUCUGCUAAAGGAACCUUUUGUCAGUCCUAGAAACACUGAUGAAUAAGGGGUGGGCAAGUUCUGGUGUCAGCCGCCGCGGUAAAACCAGCACCUCAAGUGGUCAGGAUGGUUAUUGGGCCUAAAGCAUCCGUAGCCGGCUCUGUAAGUUUUCGGUUAAAUCUGUACGCUCAACGUACAGGCUGCCGGGAAUACUGCAAAGCUAGGGAGUGGGAGAGGUAGACGGUACUCGGUAGGAAGGGGUAAAAUCCUUUGAUCUAUUGAUGACCACCUGUGGCGAAGGCGGUCUACCAGAACACGUCCGACGGUGAGGGAUGAAAGCUGGGGGAGCAAACCGGAUUAGAUACCCGGGUAGUCCCAGCUGUAA
RNAcentral lists this ribosomal RNA (748 nucleotides) under uncultured Nitrososphaerota archaeon. Its description in RNAcentral is "bacterial SSU rRNA". It matches the Rfam family "Archaeal small subunit ribosomal RNA", at positions 1 to 756 of the family's 1478-position model. Lineage: Archaea; Thermoproteati; Nitrososphaerota. The record is from RNAcentral.